CGGACAGAAGGCCAUGGGAACACAGAGGACUGCCAAGGUCAUCAGUGUGCUGACCCCGAAGAGCUCGUGGCAGGUGGGAAAACAGCAAAACACAACUGAAAUGAGGACGACUGAGAUGAGGACCAAGAUUAACAGUUGCAGGAAGAAAAGAGAGAAGGAAGAAAAGAAAGGCAACCCUGGCUGCUGUGGUUUAGUGGAUUGAGCACCAGCCUGUGAACCAAAGGGUCGCCGGAUCGAUUCCCAGUCAGGGCACAUGUCUGGGUUGCCGG
Molecule: long non-coding RNA, 269 nt
Organism: Artibeus jamaicensis (Jamaican fruit-eating bat)
Lineage: Eukaryota; Metazoa; Chordata; Mammalia; Chiroptera; Phyllostomidae
Exons: 3
Source: RefSeq, a predicted model, not a curated record